GACGAACGCUGGCGGCGUGCUUAACACAUGCAAGUCGAACGGAAAGGCCCUGCUUGCAGGGUACUCGAGUGGCGAACGGGUGAGUAACACGUGGGUGAUCUGCCCUGCACUUCGGGAUAAGCCUGGGAAACUGGGUCUAAUACCGGAUAGGAGCCAUAUUUAGUGUGAUGGUUGGAAAGUUUUUUCGGUGUAGGAUGAGCUCGCGGCCUAUCAGCUUGUUGGUGGGGUAAUGUCCUACCAAGGCGGCGACGGGUAGCCGGCCUGAGAGGGUGGACGGCCACAUUGGGACUGAGAUACGGCCCAGACUCCGACGGGAGGCAGCAGGGGGGAAUAUUGCACAAUGGGCGCAAGCCUGAUGCAGCGACGCCGCGUGGGGGAUGACGGCCUUCGGGUUGUAAACUCCUUUCGCUAGGGACGAAGCUUUUUGUGACGGUACCUAGAUAAGAAGCACCGGCUAACUACGUG
Molecule: ribosomal RNA, 465 nt
Filed under: uncultured bacterium
Lineage: Bacteria
Description: partial 16S ribosomal RNA
Rfam family: Bacterial small subunit ribosomal RNA
Source: RNAcentral